RNAcentral lists this non-coding RNA (175 nucleotides) under uncultured Saccharofermentans sp. The record is from RNAcentral. Lineage: Bacteria; Bacillati; Bacillota; Clostridia; Eubacteriales; Oscillospiraceae.
ACAUGCCGUCGGUGCCCCGUAAAAAGGGUUAAAAGGGAACACGGUGUAAAUCCGUGGCAGCCCCCGCUACUGUCAGUGCUUACGCGGCUUUCAUAUCCAUUGGGUGCUCUUCGCGGGUGCCUGAGAAGGGGAGGGACGCUAAACGGCAUGAGUCAGGAAACCUGCCGAUGAGUCA